Molecule: transfer RNA, 75 nt
Filed under: Bacteroidota bacterium
Lineage: Bacteria; Pseudomonadati; Bacteroidota
Also listed under: 1 other name
Description: Bacteroidetes bacterium tRNA-Pro
Rfam family: tRNA
About the family: Transfer RNA (tRNA) molecules are approximately 80 nucleotides in length. Their secondary structure includes four short double-helical elements and three loops (D, anti-codon, and T loops).
Source: RNAcentral
CGGGGUGUAGCGCAGCUCGGUUAGCGCGUCUGCUUUGGGAGCAGAAGGUCGCAGGUUCGAAUCCUGCCACCCCGA